GAGUUUGAUCAUGGCUCAGAUUGAACGCUGGCGGCAUGCCUUACACAUGCAAGUCGAACGGCAGCAUGAUCUAGCUUGCUAGAUUGAUGGCGAGUGGCGAACGGGUGAGUAAUACAUCGGAACGUGCCCUGUAGUGGGGGAUAACUAGUCGAAAGAUUAGCUAAUACCGCAUACGACCUGAGGGUGAAAGUGGGGGACCGCAAGGCCUCAUGCUAUAGGAGCGGCCGAUGUCUGAUUAGCUAGUUGGUGGGGUAAAGGCCCACCAAGGCGACGAUCAGUAGCUGGUCUGAGAGGACGAUCAGCCACACUGGGACUGAGACACGGCCCAGACUCCUACGGGA
This 341-nucleotide ribosomal RNA is filed under the name uncultured microorganism. Its description in RNAcentral is "bacterial SSU rRNA". It matches the Rfam family "Bacterial small subunit ribosomal RNA", at positions 9 to 346 of the family's 1533-position model. The record is from RNAcentral.